AGAGUUUGAUCCUGGCUCAGGAUGAACGCUAGCGGCAGGCUUAACACAUGCAAGUCGAGGGGCAGCGCGGGUAGCAAUACCUGGCGGCGACCGGCGAAAGGGUGCGUAACGCGUGAGCAACUUGCCCGUAUCCGGGACAUAAGCGGUGGAAAACGCCGUCUAAUUUCCCAUAACAACAGGAACCGCAUGAUUUCCGUUUGAAAGAUCCGUCGGAUACGGAUGGGCUCGCGAGACAUUAGCCAGUUGGUAGGGUAACGGCCUACCAAAGCUACGAUGUCUAGGGGUUCUGAGAGGAAGGUCCCCACAUUGGAACUGAGACACGGUCCAAACUCCUACGGGAGGCAGCAGUGAGGAAUAUUGGUCAAUGGGCGCAAGCCUGAACCAGCCAUGCCGCGUGCAGGAUUAAGGCCCUAUGGGUCGUAAACCGCUUUGUUGGGAGCAAUAAGGAGCACGUGUGCUCUGAUGAGAGUACCCAGCGAAUAAGCAUCGGCUAACUCCGUGCC
This 503-nucleotide ribosomal RNA is filed under the name uncultured bacterium. RNAcentral's name for it is "bacterial SSU rRNA". It matches the Rfam family "Bacterial small subunit ribosomal RNA", at positions 8 to 509 of the family's 1533-position model. The record is from RNAcentral.